AAGUCGUAACAAGGUUUCCGUAGGUGAACCUGCGGAAGGAUCAUUACAACGUAUCCACGUACCAAACUCGUGAACUGUUCCCAAUGGAGUAAACACACUUGUGGAUGAAGUUAAUGCUCGCCAGCUUUUCGCUGGUGGAGUUGGCGGAUCUUGUAUCUGCGCAACUGAGAGGCUGUCGAGCGCCGGCUGGCCUGUCGAGGGCUACUGGGACUUCGUGUACUCUGUUGCGGUUCUGCCCAUCAGCGCUGUUUUACCAUUAUUAACCCUUUAAAUUCUGAACUGAACUCAAAAACUCUGCUGACGUCCUUGCUGGCUUCGGUCACGGACUAGCGCAGCGCGAGUUUGUAAAUUACGAAACAAAGAACAACUCUUAGCAACGGAUAUCUUGGUUCUC
This 394-nucleotide unclassified non-coding RNA is filed under the name fungal sp. Its description in RNAcentral is "partial internal transcribed spacer region". The stretch from base 1 to 46 matches the Rfam family "Eukaryotic small subunit ribosomal RNA", at positions 1786 to 1831 of the family's 1831-position model. The record is from RNAcentral. Lineage: Eukaryota; Fungi.